AAAUUGAAGAGUUUGAUCAUGGCUCAGAUUGAACGCUGGCGGCAGGCCUAACACAUGCAAGUCGAACGGUAACAGGAAGCAGCUUGCUGUUUCGCUGACGAGUGGCGGACGGGUGAGUAAUGUCUGGGAAACUGCCUGAUGGAGGGGGAUAACUACUGGAAACGGUAGCUAAUACCGCAUAACGUCGCAAGACCAAAGAGGGGGACCUUCGGGCCUCUUGCCAUCGGAUGUGCCCAGAUGGGAUUAGCUAGUAGGUGGGGUAACGGCUCACCUAGGCGACGAUCCCUAGCUGGUCUGAGAGGAUGACCAGCCACACUGGAACUGAGACACGGUCCAGACUCCUACGGGAGGCAGCAGUGGGGAAUAUUGCACAAUGGGCGCAAGCCUGAUGCAGCCAUGCCGCGUGUAUGAAGAAGGCCUUCGGGUUGUAAAGUACUUUCAGCGGGGAGGAAGGGAGUAAAGUUAAUACCUUUGCUCAUUGACGUUACCCGCAGAAGAAGCACCGGCUAACUCCGUGCCAGCAGCCGCGGUAAUACGGAGGGUGCAAGCGUUAAUCGGAAUUACUGGGCGUAAAGCGCACGCAGGCGGUUUGUUAAGUCAGAUGUGAAAUCCCCGGGCUCAACCUGGGAACUGCAUCUGAUACUGGCAAGCUUGAGUCUCGUAGAGGGGGUAGAAUUCCGGUGUAGCGGUGAAAUGCGUAGAGAUCUGGAGGAAUACCGGUGGCGAAGGCGGCCCCCUGGACGAAGACUGACGCUCAGGUGCGAAAGCGUGGGGAGCAAACAGGAUUAGAUACCUUGGUAGUCCACGCCGUAAACGAUGUCGACUUGGAGGUUGUGCCCUUGAGGUGUGGCUUCCGGAGCUAACGCGUUAAGUCGACCGCCUGGGGAGUACGGCCGCAAGGUUAAAACUCAAAUGAAUUGACGGGGGCCCGCACAAGCGGUGGAGCAUGUGGUUUAAUUCGAUGCAACGCGAAGAACCUUACCUGGUCUUGACAUCCACGGAAGUUUUCAGAGAUGAGAAUGUGCCUUCGGGAACCGUGAGACAGGUGCUGCAUGGCUGUCGUCAGCUCGUGUUGUGAAAUGUUGGGUUAAGUCCCGCAACGAGCGCAACCCUUAUCCUUUGUUGCCAGCGGUCCGGCCGGGAACUCAAAGGAGACUGCCAGUGAUAAACUGGAGGAAGGUGGGGAUGACGUCAAGUCAUCAUGGCCCUUACGACCAGGGCUACACACGUGCUACAAUGGCGCAUACAAAGAGAAGCGACCUCGCGAGAGCAAGCGGACCUCAUAAAGUGCGUCGUAGUCCGGAUUGAGUCUGCAACUCGACUCCAUGAAGUCGGAAUCGCUAGUAAUCGUGGAUCAGAAUGCCACGGUGAAUACGUUCCCGGGCCUUGUACACACCGCCCGUCACACCAUGGGAGUGGGUUGCAAAAGAAGUAGGUAGCUUAACCUUCGGGAGGGCGCUUACCACUUUGUGAUUCAUGACUGGGGUGAAGUCGUAACAAGGUAACCGUAGGGGAACCUGCGGUUGGAUCACCUCCUUA
RNAcentral lists this ribosomal RNA (1539 nucleotides) under Shigella flexneri. Its description in RNAcentral is "bacterial SSU rRNA". It matches the Rfam family "Bacterial small subunit ribosomal RNA". The record is from RNAcentral. Lineage: Bacteria; Pseudomonadati; Pseudomonadota; Gammaproteobacteria; Enterobacterales; Enterobacteriaceae.